AAGAUACUAGUAAAAUCAUUACACUGCUUUGUCAAGGCAGAAUCGCAAGUUAAACCCUUGCGUAUCUUA
This 69-nucleotide transfer RNA is filed under the name Aenigmachanna gollum. Its description in RNAcentral is "tRNA-Asp". It matches the Rfam family "tRNA". From Rfam's summary of the family: Transfer RNA (tRNA) molecules are approximately 80 nucleotides in length. Their secondary structure includes four short double-helical elements and three loops (D, anti-codon, and T loops). Lineage: Eukaryota; Metazoa; Chordata; Actinopteri; Anabantiformes; Aenigmachannidae. The record is from RNAcentral.